This 1036-nucleotide long non-coding RNA is filed under the name Anser brachyrhynchus (Pink-footed goose). RNAcentral's name for it is "lncRNA (ENSABRG00000011789.1)". Lineage: Eukaryota; Metazoa; Chordata; Aves; Anseriformes; Anatidae. The record is from RNAcentral.
GGCUGAUCUGUUUCCUAUGUAGGAUCAGGUGAGGAUUUGCCUUUUAUAGCAGAAUUGCCAAGGUAAAGGACAGCGUGUCCUUUUUCAUCUUCUCCCCUUAUGUCCUCACACUGUUACUUUCAAGCCUGAAACAUAGUGUUGCCUGUUUAGCAUAGAUCACCCAGAAUGCACGCGUUCUUUGACAGGUAUUUCUGUGAUUCCAGGUUUACCAUGGUAGCAAUGGACACCACAGAUGUGUGUGUUGAGUGAGCCCUUACUUGCCUGGAUGACACAGUGAGGAAGACCUCAGGGCUCUCUACAGUAGAAGUAGAGAUAAGCACUGAGCAAGAGUCUGGGCAGGACUGAAUUGGGACCUGAGGGAUCUGCCAAGCUGGAAGCUGAUACCUGCUAAAUCGCCGAACUGCCAGAUAGAGCUGUUACAACACUACACCUGCAGAAAGGCCACUCCUUGGGAAUCAGUCCAACAGAGGGAGAGUAAGCUACAAGAACACAGAAGGAAAAAGACCUAAAGAAUGAAGAGAAAAGAUCUGGUGAGUAAUCCUAAAUAUCUGUAGAAGUAGAGUAGUCACUUCUCCCUGUUGUCAAAGCUAGUCAGUAUUUGCAAGAGUUAGUUAUCCCUCUUUGUUCUCUGACACUGUUCAGUGACUGCCCUGGCAUCCCCAAAGCUUCCCCUGCAUUUCAUGCAAGAUCAAAGUGAAUCUGUGUAAGAAAUUAAACUGGGGUUUUGCAAGAUUAGUCUAAUUCUCCUCCUGUUGAAACAAACCUCUCCCUCCCCAAUCCCUCACACCUCAGAGAGCCAGCCUACUUCUAAUUCAUCAGCUGUCCUGUUCAUGGCUGUCUGAAUUGUUAGUUCUUCAUUCUGCAUCCCUUGUUGCCACUUAAGCAGCGAAGGAAUAUAAAUCUCACUAAGGGAAAAGGUGGGGGUAUGAGAACAGUACUGGAAGAAAGAAGUUCAGGGUGUAAGUUCCUAGCAGUCAUGCACUUGAGUUUGUCCUGAAUGACUGUCCCGUAUAGUGUUUGUAGGGCCUGGCACUGU